Molecule: long non-coding RNA, 1539 nt
Organism: Poecilia latipinna (sailfin molly)
Lineage: Eukaryota; Metazoa; Chordata; Actinopteri; Cyprinodontiformes; Poeciliidae
Exons: 2
Source: RefSeq, a predicted model, not a curated record
CGGCCCGCCGAGAGGACCUGGGAUCCAGAGGAAGAGAGAGCCAAACUUUUUUCCAAAGUUAACUAUUUUAGAUAGAAUACUCUUCCUUAACACUAACUAAUGUCAUAUUUUAUAUGCUAAAAUAUUAACUAUGGUUGGGUUUAAAUCUCUUUCGUGCUCAUUCUUUAGUGUAAGACAGUUCAGGACGCCCCCUUGUGGAUUUAAAUAAUCCCUUCACUCCUUUCAGAGCCUGAGAUUUAUUGCUGGUGUGUUUUUCAGAGAAGAAAACAUUUAAACCCCAUUACAUUAGAGCAGUAAACUGUCAUGUAACAGAAGCAUGUUUUCUAAUUGCUGGUUCAAUACAAACAUAAGUUUCAGACAAAAUGGGAAGAUUUCUGAAUUAAAAGCUCCCGUUCCAUCAAUUUUCCGCAAGUAAAUCUGUAAACGUAAACGUCUAUAUAUCGGUGAUAAGAAAUCUGCUGAGUAAUCAGUAUGUGACGUAGCAUCGAUGUGCGCAUGCGCAUUACCACAAGGUGGAACGGAUGAAUGGGGUAGCUCAGAUAAUUAGAGCACUGGGUCUUUAAGUUGCCCCAGCAACCAGGGAGGUUAGGUGCUGCUGUGAUCUACAGCUGAACUAUUCCCGACUUUCCAGAUCAGCUGGACUUUGAUUCCUCGCACUAUUUCAAGGACCGUCACCUCAACUCAGUCCUGCUGGCUGACCGAUGGGGGUCCUCAAUGAGGCAGUGCUCCAAAACGUCCAGAUAAAACAGGCAGCUGCAACCUGCUGAGAAAAAAUAGUACACACGUUUAAUUUAACUUUAAAAAAUGUUUAAUUCAUGUAAUUUAAUUUGUGCCUGUAAUGUCUGUGAAGGAAUGAAUGAAGGAAUUAUAUUUAGUUAAGUUUGAGUUUGCUAACUGGCUACAAAACGUUACAUUAGUACAUUGCAUAGAUUAGGAAAUCUUUGGUUUUUAUUGUAACAACUUUAAUGCAGAACUGGAGUAUAGCUACGGGUUGAGAUUUUACACAGUAUCUAUCCAUCUAUCUAUCUAUCUAUCUGAGAAAUGACUAGAGGAGAAAAAACAGAUUUGGUAUCAGGUACUUUUUUAUUAGAAGCAGAAAAAUGUCACAAUCUUCAUUUUGUUUUCUGUAAACGUCCUGAUCUUAAGGAGCUGCUUAUGUAAAUGCCAGAUGGGCAGUCAGUAAACAUUUUAAUAAUUUACAUUUUAGGCUGCAUAUGACAAACACAAUCACCAUAGAGAGAGAGUGAGAGAAAUGCAUAUUGAUUUUUGAUUUUUAAAAGUAGAAAAUAACCAGCACCAAAAACUUAACUACCCUAUUACCCUCAUUUUGCCAAAGUGCACCACGGAACGCCACAGAAAGUCAUUUCUACCUGUUGCCAUCAGGCUUUUCAAUGCACAAGUCUGUGCUAUUUGAUUCAAAUUCUUUCUGCGCUCAUUUAUAGGUUAUCGAUUAAUAUAUUGCAUGUGAUUGCUUGUUAUUUAUUUGUUUAUAAUAAAUAUCAUUUUGAAAUUAUCAGUCAUAUAUAUAUAUAUAUAUAU